Molecule: ribosomal RNA, 1016 nt
Filed under: Leucobacter sp.
Lineage: Bacteria; Bacillati; Actinomycetota; Actinomycetes; Micrococcales; Microbacteriaceae
Description: bacterial SSU rRNA
Rfam family: Bacterial small subunit ribosomal RNA
Source: RNAcentral
CGGACGAGUGCUUACCUGCAGUCGAACGAUGAAGCCCAGCUUGCUGGGUGGAAGAGUGGCGAACGGGUGAGUAACACGUGAGUAACCUGCCCUGAACUCUGGGAUAAGCACUGGAAACGGUGUCUAAUACUGGAUACGACCUAUCACCGCAUGGUGUGUAGGUGGAAAGAUUUAUCGGUUCUGGAUGGACUCGCGGCCUAUCAGCUAGAUGGUGAGGUAAUGGCUCACCAUGGCGACGACGGGUAGCCGGCCUGAGAGGGUGACCGGCCACACUGGGACUGAGACACGGCCCAGACUCCUACGGGAGGCAGCAGUGGGGAAUAUUGCACAAUGGGCGCAAGCCUGAUGCAGCAACGCCGCGUGAGGGAUGACGGCCUUCGGGUUGUAAACCUCUUUUAGUAGGGAAGAAGCGAAAGUGACGGUACCUGCAGAAAAAGCACCGGCUAACUACGUGCCAGCAGCCGCGGUAAUACGUAGGGUGCAAGCGUUGUCCGGAAUUAUUGGGCGUAAAGAGCUCGUAGGCGGCUUGUCGCGUCUGCUGUGAAAUCCCGGGGCUCAACCCCGGGCCUGCAGUGGGUACGGGCAAGCUAGAGUGCGGUAGGGGAGAUUGGAAUUCCUGGUGUAGCGGUGGAAUGCGCAGAUAUCAGGAGGAACACCGAUGGCGAAGGCAGAUCUCUGGGCCGCUACUGACGCUGAGGAGCGAAAGCAUGGGGAGCGAACAGGAUUAGAUACCCUGGUAGUCCAUGCCGUAAACGUUGGGAACUAGAUGUAGGGCCUGUUCCACGGGUUCUGUGUCGUAGCUAACGCAUUAAGUUCCCCGCCUGGGGAGUACGGCCGCAAGGCUAAAACUCAAAGGAAUUGACGGGGGCCCGCACAAGCGGCGGAGCAUGCGGAUUAAUUCGAUGCAACGCGAAGAACCUUACCAAGGCUUGACAUAACCGAGAACGCUGUAGAGAUACAGAACUCUUUGGACACUCGGUUACAGGUGGUGCAUGGUUGCCGUCAGCUCCGGGCCG